ACACCUGGAGCAGGUAAUAGUUUUUGUCGGAACAGCGAAGCGUGAUUAUUACAAGUAGCAGAGUGGGAGAGUCGAAGCACGGUGACCAUCACCGAGCAAUUCCUUUCCUCUUGGGUAUGGCGCAGCCCCUCUCGUCCGAGAAACCCUCCGAUCUCCCCGUCAUCUCCGAACAAAGAAUUUUAAUACCAAACAAGUACGGAGAAAAGCUUGCUGGAGUGUUGCAUCAAACUGGUUCCAAGAAGCUUGUGAUCUUGUGCCAUGGAUUCCGGGCUUCAAAGGAAGAUAACAUUAUAGUUAACCUCACUGCCUCAUUGACAAGCCAAGGAAUCAGCACCUUCAGCUUUGAUUUUGCUGGAAAUGGGGAAAGUGAGGGCGAAUUCCAGUAUGGCAACUAUUGCAGAGAGGCUGAUGACUUGCGUGCUGUAAUUUCAUAUCUUUCUGAGCAGAAGCAUGAAAUUGCUGCCAUUAUUGGACACAGCAAGGGAGGAAAUGUGGUGCUCCUAUAUGCUUCGAUGUAUCAUGAUGUACCUAUUGUCAUCAAUUGUUCUGGACGCUUUGCCUUAGAUAGAGGUAUUGAAGGUCGCUUGGGGAAAGAAUUUAUGCAGAGAAUAAAGAGAGAUGGUUUUAUUGAUGUGAAGGACAAGACAGGAAAAAUUGAAUACCGGGUGACAGAAGAUAGUUUAAUGGACCGAUUAAGCACAGAUAUGCAUGCAGCAAGCCUUUCCAUUGACAAAGAAUGCAGGUUAAGCACCUUUUACUGCUAUUCUUUAUCUACAGGGUCUUCACUAUUCAUGGCUCAGAAGAUGAAAUCAUACCAGUUGAAGACGCCUUAGAAUUUGCGAAGCUUAUACCAAACCACAAGUUGCAUAUUGUUGAGGGCGCCAACCAUUGCUAUUCUGCACAUCAGCAAGAGUUGGCUUCACUUGUAGUGGACUUCCUAAAAUCUAAUCAGUUGAUGAGAUGUGUAUAAAACAAUCUAUGAGUGCUUCUGAACAUGCAUCGUGAUGACAAAUCAGUUUAAUUACCACAGGUGGGGGAUGCCUCUUGAGGGUGAGAAGAAUAAAUUACGAACCUAGAAACUACUACACGGGGUCAAGAAGAAUCACUGCAGGAUAUGAUUCCAAACUUUCUCAUGUACUAGUAGAUGUUUGGCUAUGUUUAUUCUGAAAGUGGCUGUUGUCGCAAACUUGUUCUCUAAAAUAAAAGUGCCAUUCAAACUAA
RNA transcript from Ananas comosus (pineapple), 1221 nucleotides. RefSeq lists it as uncharacterized. The record is from RefSeq and is a predicted model, not a curated record. Lineage: Eukaryota; Viridiplantae; Streptophyta; Magnoliopsida; Poales; Bromeliaceae. The transcript is spliced from 8 exons.